CUCCCCCCAGAGUGUCAUGGCCGUCUUCUUCUCAGGCAACUACCUUUGAUCCUUUUACUGAUCUGAUGUAAAUCACCUUGAGUGUCAUAGUUAUUUACACCUCAGAGUGAAGGAAGAACCUGACAAUUGAUGGACAAAAACAAGAGUUGAAGACAUGAGUACUUGGAUGCAGCAGGCAAGCCCAGGAUCAUUUCCAUGAUGGUGGAUUGUAGUGUUCUCAAGAGAGGAUAAGAGGACAGUCCUCACUGCGCUAACACUUUCGAGCUUAUGCCAUUUGCUAAAGAACACUUUUAGCCAUUUGCUAAAGAAAAGCUCAUAUCCAA
Prionailurus viverrinus (fishing cat) is the source of this 323-nucleotide long non-coding RNA. RefSeq lists it as uncharacterized. The transcript is spliced from 3 exons. NCBI's taxonomy places the organism in Eukaryota, Metazoa, Chordata, Mammalia, Carnivora, Felidae. The record is from RefSeq and is a predicted model, not a curated record.